CGGGGUGACUGCCUAGAAUACUGCACAGCCUACCAACAUCUGAUGAAAUUAGUGAAUCAGCAAGCCAGCCAUGACUUACACUCCAGGGAUCGGUGGGGACCCUGUCCAGCCGGCCCGGCGCAUCUCUUCCAACAUCCAGAAGAUCACACAGUGUCUGUGGAAAUACAAAGGACACUGAAUCAACUUGGAACGCCUCAAGACUCACCUGAAUUGAGGCAACACCUACAACAGAAGAAGCAGUAUACUAACCAACUUGCCAAAGAAACAGAUAAGUACAUUAAAGAGUUUGGAUCUCUACCCACCACCCCCAAUGAACAGCGUCAAAGGAAAAUACAGAAGGAUCGCUUAGUGGCUGAAUUCACAGCAGCACUGACAAACUUUCAGAAGGUCCAGCAGCAAGCCACUGAGAGAGAGAAGGAACUUGUGGCCCAAGUAAGAGCCAGUUCCAGAGUGUUGGGUGGUUUUCCUGAGGACAACUCAAAAGAAAGGAAUCUUGUAUCCUGGGAAAGCCAAACACAGCCUCAAGUACAAGUGCAAGAUGAUGAGAUUACAGAAGAUGACCUCCACCUCAUUCAUGAGAGAGAGUCUUCUAUCAGGCAGCUUGAGGCUGAUAUUAUGGAUAUUAAUGAAAUAUUUAAACACUUAGGAACAAUGAUUCAUGAACAGGGAGAUGUGAUAGACAGUAUAGAAGCCAAUGUAGAGAGCGCAGAGGUGCAUGUUCAGCAGGCAAAUCAGCAGCUGUCCAGGGCAGCAAAUUAUCAGCGCAAAUCCAGGAAAACCCUGUGCAUCAUCAUUGUUGUCCUUGUCAUUGGAGCUGUGAUUGUCGGUCUCCUCAUAUGGAGACUGAAAUCCUAG
Molecule: RNA transcript, 855 nt
Organism: Octodon degus (degu)
Lineage: Eukaryota; Metazoa; Chordata; Mammalia; Rodentia; Octodontidae
Gene name: syntaxin-7 pseudogene
Exons: 1
Source: RefSeq, a predicted model, not a curated record